Molecule: ribosomal RNA, 373 nt
Filed under: uncultured organism
Description: partial 16S ribosomal RNA
Rfam family: Bacterial small subunit ribosomal RNA
Source: RNAcentral
GUAGGUGGCAAGCGUUGUCCGGAAUUAUUGGGCGUAAAGCGCGCGCAGGCGGUUCUUUAAGUCUGAUGUGAAAGCCCACGGGCUCAACCGUGGAGGGUCAUUGGAAACUGGAGGACUUGAGUACAGAAGAGGAAAGCGGAAUUCCACGUGUAGCGGUGAAAUGCGUAGAGAUGUGGAGGAACACCAGUGGCGAAGGCGGCUUUCUGGUCUGUAACUGACGCUGAGGCGCGAAAGCGUGGGGAGCAAACGGGAUUAGAUACCCUGGUAGUCCACGCCGUAAACGAUGAGUGCUAAGUGUUAGGGGGUUUCCGCCCCUUAGUGCUGCAGCUAACGCAUUAAGCACUCCGCCUGGGGAGUACGGCCGCAAAGGCUG